GGGGAAUUUUCCGCAAUGGGCGAAAGCCUGACGGAGCAAUACCGCGUGAGGGAUGAAGGCCUAUGGGUUGUAAACCUCUUUUUUCAGGGAGGAAUCAAUGACGUGUACUUGAAGAAUAAGCAUCGGCUAACUCCGUGCCAGCAGCCGCGGUAAGACGGAGGAUGCAAGUGUUAUCCGGAAUCACUGGGCGUAAAGCGUCUGUAGGUGGUUUAAUAAGUCAAUUGUUAAAUCUUGAAGCUCAACUUCAAAAUCGCAGUCGAAACUAUUAGACUAGAGUAUAGUAGGGGUAAAGGGAAUUUCCAGUGGAGCGGUGAAAUGCGUAGAUAUUGGAAGGAACACCGAUGGCGAAGGCACUUUACUGGGCUAUUACUAACACUCAGAGACGAAAGCUAGGGUAGCAAAUGGGAUUAGAUACCCCAGUAGUC
This 425-nucleotide ribosomal RNA is filed under the name uncultured cyanobacterium. RNAcentral describes it as "bacterial SSU rRNA". It matches the Rfam family "Bacterial small subunit ribosomal RNA", at positions 356 to 795 of the family's 1533-position model. Lineage: Bacteria; Bacillati; Cyanobacteriota. The record is from RNAcentral.